Molecule: ribosomal RNA, 911 nt
Filed under: uncultured bacterium
Lineage: Bacteria
Description: bacterial SSU rRNA
Rfam family: Bacterial small subunit ribosomal RNA
Source: RNAcentral
ACGCUAGCUACAGGCUUAACACAUGCAAGUCGAGGGGAAACGGCAUUAAGUGCUUGCACUUUUUGGACGUCGACCGGCGCACGGGUGAGUAACGCGUAUCCAACCUUCCCAUGACUAAGGGAUAACCUGCCGAAAGGCAGACUAAUACCUUAUGGUCUUCACUGACGGCAUCAGAUGUGAAGUAAAGAUUUAUCGGUUAUGGAUGGGGAUGCGUCUGAUUAGCUUGUUGGCGGGGUAACGGCCCACCAAGGCAACGAUCAGUAGGGGUUCUGAGAGGAAGGUCCCCCACAUUGGAACUGAGACACGGUCCAAACUCCUACGGGAGGCAGCAGUGAGGAAUAUUGGUCAAUGGGCGAGAGCCUGAACCAGCCAAGUAGCGUGCAGGAUGACGGCCCUAUGGGUUGUAAACUGCUUUUGUAUGGGGAUAAAGCCAAUCACGUGUGAUUGUUUGCAGGUACCAUACGAAUAAGGACCGGCUAAUUCCGUGCCAGCAGCCGCGGUAAUACGGAAGGUCCGGGCGUUAUCCGGAUUUAUUGGGUUUAAAGGGAGCGUAGGCUGGAGAUUAAGUGUGUUGUGAAAUGUAGACGCUCAACGUCUGACUUGCAGCGCAUACUGGUUUCCUUGAGUACGCACAACGUUGGCGGAAUUCGUCGUGUAGCGGUGAAAUGCUUAGAUAUGACGAAGAACUCCGAUUGCGAAGGCAGCUGACGGGAGCGCAACUGACGCUGAAGCUCGAAGGUGCGGGUAUCGAACAGGAUUAGAUACCCUGGUAGUCCGCACAGUAAACGAUGGAUGCCCGCUGUUGGUACCUGGUAUCAGCGGCUAAGCGAAAGCAUUAAGCAUCCCACCUGGGGAGUACGCCGGCAACGGUGAAACUCAAAGGAAUUGACGGGGGCCCGCACAAGCGGAGG